AUUGAACGCUGGCGGCAUGCUUUACACAUGCAAGUCGAACGGCAGCGCGGGCUUCGGCCUGGCGGCGAGUGGCGAACGGGUGAGUAAUGCAUCGGAACGUGCCCAGUAGUGGGGGAUAGCCCGGCGAAAGCCGGAUUAAUACCGCAUACGACCUGAGGGUGAAAGCGGGGGACCGAAAGGCCUCGCGCUAUUGGAGCGGCCGAUGUCGGAUUAGCUAGUUGGUGGGGUAAAGGCUUACCAAGGCGACGAUCCGUAGCUGGUCUGAGAGGACGACCAGCCACACUGGGACUGAGACACGGUCCAGACUCCUACGGGAGGCAGCAGUGGGGAAUUUUGGACAAUGGGGGCAACCCUGAUCCAGCCAUGCCGCGUGCGGGAAGAAGGCCUUCGGGUUGUAAACCGCUUUUGUUCGGGAAGAAAUGCUGUGGGCUAAUACCCCGGGGGGAUGACGUUACCGGAAGAAUAAGCACCGGCUAACUACGUG
Molecule: ribosomal RNA, 484 nt
Filed under: uncultured bacterium
Lineage: Bacteria
Description: partial 16S ribosomal RNA
Rfam family: Bacterial small subunit ribosomal RNA
Source: RNAcentral